Potamilus streckersoni is the source of this 73-nucleotide non-coding RNA. The record is from the annotation of a GenBank genome assembly. NCBI's taxonomy places the organism in Eukaryota, Metazoa, Mollusca, Bivalvia, Unionida, Unionidae.
CGUUCGGUGGUCUAGUGGUUAGAGCGUCUGACUCGGAUGCGGGAGGUCGUGGGUUCGAACCACGGCCGAGUCA